GUGCUUGCUUCAGCAGCACAUAUACUGAAAUUGGAAUGAUACAGAGACAAUUAGCAUCACCCCUGUGCCAGGAUAACACACAGAUUUGUAAGGCAUUUCAUAUUAAA
Zalophus californianus (California sea lion) is the source of this 107-nucleotide small nuclear RNA. The record is from Ensembl. NCBI's taxonomy places the organism in Eukaryota, Metazoa, Chordata, Mammalia, Carnivora, Otariidae.